AUCCAGCUAACGAGUCCCAAAUAGGACGAAACGCAUGUCCUGUGU
Molecule: non-coding RNA, 45 nt
Organism: Schistosoma curassoni
Lineage: Eukaryota; Metazoa; Platyhelminthes; Trematoda; Strigeidida; Schistosomatidae
Source: Rfam